CCUACGGGGCGCAGCAGUGGGGAAUAUUGGACAAUGGGGGCAACCCUGAUCCAGCCAUGCCGCGUGUGUGAAGAAGGCCCUCGGGUUGUAAAGCACUUUCAGUGAGGAAGAACGCCUGGUGGUUAAUACCCAUCAGGAAAGACAUCACUCACAGAAGAAGCACCGGCUAACUCCGUGCCAGCAGCCGCGGUAAUACGGAGGGUGCGAGCGUUAAUCGGAAUUACUGGGCGUAAAGCGCGCGUAGGUGGCUUGAUAAGCCGGUUGUGAAAGCCCCGGGCUCAACCUGGGAACGGCAUCCGGAACUGUCAAGCUAGAGUGCAGGAGAGGAAGGUAGAAUUCCCGGUGUAGCGGUGAAAUGCGUAGAGAUCGGGAGGAAUACCAGUGGCGAAGGCGGCCUUCUGGACUGACACUGACACUGAGGUGCGAAAGCGUGGGUAGCAAACAGGAUUAGAUACCCUAGUAGUC
Molecule: ribosomal RNA, 465 nt
Filed under: Vreelandella stevensii
Lineage: Bacteria; Pseudomonadati; Pseudomonadota; Gammaproteobacteria; Oceanospirillales; Halomonadaceae
Description: partial 16S ribosomal RNA
Rfam family: Bacterial small subunit ribosomal RNA
Source: RNAcentral